GUUUAGUCACUUUCUUAGGCUCCGUGUCAUGGUUUCAGAGGUAGAGUUUCCAAGUGACCCUGCUCAUCCCAGCAGUAGGGGAGCUUUAAUUUCCUGGGUCCAGGAUGGUUUUCUGCAACUCUCUGAGGAGUAGAGAACAUUUACUUUUACCUUCCCACCAAUCAUUUUGCUUCACGGAAGGCCCAUCAUCUUCAGCUGAAAUGCCAUACUCAAAGAAGACUUUCCACAAGAGCAUGAAGAAACAUCUAAAAAAGAAUGGCAGCACUCAGACCGUGUGUUUCAAGGUCCACGCCAACACAGGUUAAUGAACCCUAGAAUUACAUAAUAAAA
This 330-nucleotide long non-coding RNA is filed under the name Gorilla gorilla gorilla (western lowland gorilla). Its description in RNAcentral is "lncRNA (ENSGGOG00000044697.1)". Lineage: Eukaryota; Metazoa; Chordata; Mammalia; Primates; Hominidae. The record is from RNAcentral.